UUACGUUGCAUGAAGCAGUUCAAAUAAGAUAAAUACUUUUAUUAAUGCUUUUUAAUGUAUAAAAAUACAUAACACUAACUUGAUCAUGGUCCCAUCAACACCUCUAUAGGCUUUGUUCAGGCAUUUAAUCUAGAAGAGUCUUACCUUCUUUGAGGAAAUUCAUUAAAAAAAAAGCCGGUGCAGUCUUGAAGUGAAAGUCAUUCAACAUAUUGUGCAUGAAGUACAAGAAUUUCUAAAAAUAACUCAUCCCAUAAGAUUUCAUGUGAUUUUUGUAUCUUCAUCAUAAUGCUUCUAUAAAUAAGAGAGAAAUCUCAGAUAAAUGAGUAGCCAAGUUUUGCGUUCAAAACCUAGAGGCUGGACAAAUAAUUGAGAGAUUGGUGAAGGAGCAGGACUACCUUUUUGGGAGACUAAAUCCUGUCUCUGUUUUCAAACACACAGCUGCCUCUGAAUCUCGAGUUUUAACCUCACAAAAUAGACUGCAGGGGGCUCCGGGGCUGCCUCUGAUUUGGUUUUUUCAUUUAAAAAAAAAGAAAAGAAAAACAGAGAGCCCUCUGCCUUUCCUUUAUUCGAAGAUAAUCAGCAAAUGCCUUUUGCACCCAGGCAAAGAUGCACAAGAAAAAAGGUAGAGAAAAUAUGACCAUAUCUUUGGUGACCCUACUGAAAUACGAACUUGGAUACUUUGGUACCAUGCCCUCGUUUUCCAAACGUGUGCCCACUUCCUACUUUUCUUCGUCGUGAAGGCAAAGCCCAGAUUCCAGAGUCCAUAACAGCAUUUAAUGCGUUG
Molecule: long non-coding RNA, 784 nt
Filed under: Populus trichocarpa (black cottonwood)
Lineage: Eukaryota; Viridiplantae; Streptophyta; Magnoliopsida; Malpighiales; Salicaceae
Description: long non-coding RNA (PTRI_LNC001276)
Source: RNAcentral